AAAGCAGGCAUAAACCAGCAGUGGAUCACAUAAGCUCAUAUAUUGACUAUACAAAUUUCUUUAUAUUUACAAAAUAGCCAAAAUACAUUAAAUUCUCUACUCGUUUCCCCACCCACUGGUCCAGCCUAUUCUCCGACGACAUCUUCUGGGUAUACUUAAGUUACAUCAUCUGCAUCUAAAAAAACAGAGGAAACAAGGGUGAGUAUGACAAGUCAUACUCAGCAAGCAGAUACUUUAUUAUUCAACAAAAAAAGUAAGAAUAUGAAUACAGUCACAAUAGGUUAACUGCAUUUAAUGCAGGCUAAAUAACGUGACAAUUGAUGGAGCCAGUUUCAUUGAAGGAACAACAUAGCUGGAUGUAAUGGAAACAAGAAGGAAUCUAUUGCCGUCACACAUGAUCGCAAGCUUCUCAAUCCGGGAGUCACAGGGAUGAAAUUUCACACUUUUACACUCUUAGGAGGGGUACUCCGACGUCGACAGCCUCGACCAGAACCACACAGGUUUCAGAAGAGCAGAGCUCUUGUACCCAAGACCCGGACACCUGGACCUACGGAUGUCGAUCGCUCCUACGGAUCCAUCAUCGACACGUUCCCGAACAAGGUCCAUCCUUAGUGGAGAACUCAGACAGUCUCAUACCUGAACUGUGACCGGUACAAUACGUUUGCCAUUGUGACACCAAUAUAUAUGGAUGUGUGUCUGAAUCAACGAUAGGACCACUGAAAUAUCAUUCAAAGACAAUACACUCAUAACUUUUCAUGAGUUCCUCCAAAAUACUCUGAUUCCAUCAACAAAUGGAUUAUGAGGAAGACACAUCCCUCUCUCAAGGAUCAGCAGAGGAUCAGCAAAGAUCAAGGUGCAAUGAUAUUACCAGAUAAUCAAGCAAGACGACAAUAAGGAGAGAUUAGAGAGUUUAGCAAAGCAGCUACUUGCCUUAGAUAACAAGAUUUCUCCUUGGAGAUAAUAUUCUCCUAGCAAAUAAACCCAUCAAUGUAUAAUCCAAAAGCCGUACAUAUACUGUACUAAUAUUCUCCGGACACACGGCUCAGUUCUUCACUCCAGCAGCACCUAUACGCCCCAUAUAACUCCUCCAUGUCUUGUCUCUCUCUCACUCACACGCUCUCUUCUUCUCACUCUUUCUGUUUCUCCUAUGCUCACUGCACAUGUCUCUGUUUGUUUCUCCCGGAGGUGUGCUGUGAGGCAACAGCAGGAGCGUCCUAUUUAUAGCGUUGUUC
This 1232-nucleotide long non-coding RNA is filed under the name Triticum aestivum (bread wheat). RNAcentral describes it as "long non-coding RNA (TAES_LNC023877)". Lineage: Eukaryota; Viridiplantae; Streptophyta; Magnoliopsida; Poales; Poaceae. The record is from RNAcentral.